GACGAACGCUGGCGGCGUGCUUAACACAUGCAAGUCGAACGGAAAGGCCCUGCUUUUGUGGGGUGCUCGAGUGGCGAACGGGUGAGUAACACGUGAGUAACCUGCCCUUGACUUUGGGAUAACUUCAGGAAACUGGGGCUAAUACCGGAUAGGAGCUCCUGCUGCAUGGUGGGGGUUGGAAAGUUUCGGCGGUUGGGGAUGGACUCGCGGCUUAUCAGCUUGUUGGUGGGGUAGUGGCUUACCAAGGCUUUGACGGGUAGCCGGCCUGAGAGGGUGACCGGCCACAUUGGGACUGGGAUACGGCCCAGACUCCUACGGGAGGCAGCAGUGGGGAAUAUUGCACAAUGGGCGGAAGCCUGAUGCAGCAACGCCGCGUGCGGGAUGACGGCCUUCGGGUUGUAAACCGCUUUCGCCUGUGACGAAGCGUGAGUGACGGUAAUGGGUAAAGAAGCUCCGGCUAUCUACGUG
This 468-nucleotide ribosomal RNA is filed under the name uncultured bacterium. RNAcentral's name for it is "partial 16S ribosomal RNA". It matches the Rfam family "Bacterial small subunit ribosomal RNA", at positions 28 to 507 of the family's 1533-position model. The record is from RNAcentral.